AAACAUCAUAUGGUUAUUAUAUAAACCUCUUACGGGAUUUCUAAGGUUAAUUUCAAUAUAUAAAUGGCUACUCAACAGAAUCAAGGUGUACAGGUCCUGCUAAUGCUGAGAGACAAAAAAGAGAACAGAAAGGACCACUCUUGCUGAGACAAAAAAGAGAACUGGGAGGACAACUCCUGCAGGCAUGUGGACAUUCAUAGAAAAUACAGCCUUCACCAUCUAAGACUUGGGACAGGAAAGCAGAACAGAAAAAGAUAAACAUAAAAUGAAAGGGCCAGAUGGGAGAAUAAACUGUGUAGAAAAGCUGACAGGUUCUAAAGCACUGUGAUAUCUCCUACUGUUUAUAAAACAGGCAUAUGGACUUUAAACCAGGAGCAAAUCUCUGGAACAUCUUUGGUUAUCAGAUUUCAAAUUUUGAGCUGCGUGGUUGUGUUUGCCAAGGUUCUUCUCGUCAAAAUCUGCACUGGAAGGAAGAUUCUUCCUUGACAAACCAUCUUUUGAACAUCUGGUGAAAAAAAAAAUGGAGAAAUAAUAUGAGAGAAGAAAACGUGAAUAAGACAUUAAAUGAAAC
RNAcentral lists this long non-coding RNA (571 nucleotides) under Homo sapiens (human). RNAcentral's name for it is "HSALNT0108067". Lineage: Eukaryota; Metazoa; Chordata; Mammalia; Primates; Hominidae. The record is from RNAcentral.